CUACGGGAGGCUCCAGUCGAGAAUCAUCCGCAAUGGGCGAAAGCCUGACGGUGCAAUGCCGCGUGGGGGAUGAAGGCCCUCGGGUCGUAAACCCCUGUCAGGAGGGACGAAGAAGUGACGGUACCUCCAGAGGAAGCCACGGCUAACUACGUGCCAGCAGCCGCGGUAAUACGUAGGUGGCGAGCGUUAUUCGGAUUUACUGGGCGUAAAGGGUCCGCAGGGGGUUUGCCAAGUCUGGUGUGAAAUCUCACAGCUCAACUGUGAAACUGCGCUGGAUACUGGUGAACUAGAGUGCGCGAGAGGUGAGUGGAAUUCCUGGUGUAGCGGUGGAAUGCGUAGAUAUCAGGAAGAACACCAACGGCGAAGGCAGCUCACUGGCGCGCAACUGACCCUCAUGGACGAAAGCGUGGGUAGCAAACAGGAUUAGAUACCCUCGUAGUC
RNAcentral lists this ribosomal RNA (441 nucleotides) under uncultured bacterium. RNAcentral's name for it is "partial 16S ribosomal RNA". It matches the Rfam family "Bacterial small subunit ribosomal RNA", at positions 339 to 795 of the family's 1533-position model. The record is from RNAcentral.